UCCAGUAAUGUGUCUGAGUGUAUAACAGAGCUCCCCAGCAAUAAUACUCCCAGUAAUGUGUCUGAGUGUAUAACAGAGCUCCACAGCAAUAAUACUCCCAGUAAUGUGUCUGAGUGUAUAAUAGAGCUCCACAGCAAUAAUACUCCCAGUAAUGUGUCUGAGUGUAUAACAGAGCUCCACAGCAAUAAUACUCCCAGUAAUGUGUCUGGGUGUAUAACAGAGUUCCACAGCAAUAAUACUCCCAGUAAUGUGUCUGGGUGUAUAACAGAGCUCCACAGCAAUAAUACUCCCAGUAAUGUUUCUGGGUGUAUAACAGAGCUCCACAGCAAUAAUACUCCCAGUAAUGUGUCUGAGUGUAUAACAGAGCUCCACAGUAAUAAUACUCCCAGUAAUGUGACUGAGUGUAUAACAGAGCCCCACAGCAAUAAUACUCCCAGUAAUGUGUCUGAGUGUAUAACAGAGCUCCACAGCAAAAAUACUCCCAGUAAUAUAUCUGAGUGUAUAACAGAGCUCCACAGCAAUAAUACUCCCAGUAAUGUGACUGAGUGUAUAACAGAGCUCCACAGCAAUAAUACUCCCAGUAAUGUAUCUGAGUGUAUAACAGAGCUCCACAGAAAUAAUACUCCCAGUAAUGUGACUGAGUAUAUAACAGAGCUCCACAGCAAUAAUACUCCCAGUAAUGUAUCUGAGUGUAUAACAGAGCUCCACAGCAAUAAUACUCCCAGUAAUGUGUCUGAGUGUAUAACAGAGCUCCACAGCAAUAAUACUCCCAGUAAUGUGUCUGAGUGUAUAACGGAGCCCCACAGCAAUAAUACUCCCAGUAAUGUGUCUGAGUGUAUAACGGAGCCCCGCAGCAAUAAUACUCCCAGUAAUGUGUCUGAGUGUAUAACAGAGCUCCACAGCAAUAAUACUCCUAGUAACAGAGCUCCACAGUAAUAAUACUCCCAGUAAUGUGUCUGAGUGUAUAACAGAGCUCCACAGCAAUAAUACUCCCAGUAAUGUGUCUGAGUGUAUAACAGAGCUCUACAGCAAUAAUACUCCCAGUAAGGUGUCUGAGUGUAUAACAGAGCUCCGCAGCAAUAAUACUCCCAGUAAUGUGUCUG
Non-coding RNA from Pelobates cultripes (western spadefoot toad), 1103 nucleotides. NCBI's taxonomy places the organism in Eukaryota, Metazoa, Chordata, Amphibia, Anura, Pelobatidae. The record is from the annotation of a GenBank genome assembly.